Molecule: ribosomal RNA, 131 nt
Filed under: uncultured Cellulosimicrobium sp.
Lineage: Bacteria; Bacillati; Actinomycetota; Actinomycetes; Micrococcales; Promicromonosporaceae
Description: partial 16S ribosomal RNA
Rfam family: Bacterial small subunit ribosomal RNA
Source: RNAcentral
GCCUGAUGCAGCGACGCCGCGUGAGGGAUGAAGGCCUUCGGGUUGUAAACCUCUUUCAGCAGGGAAGAAGCGCAAGUGACGGUACCUGCAGAAGAAGCGCCGGCUAACUACGUGCCAGCAGCCGCGGUAAU